AUGGGAAAAGAUGUGGGACGGAGCAGGAUAACAGAGGCCCUUGUCACCUGCAUCCCCUCUCCACAUCCCACCGGGUCGCAAGUCUCCAAGGUGCAUACUAGACUCCCAAAGUUAAGAGUGAGCCUCCUUCUGAAAACACAGUGACUCGUGAGCAUUCUUGGACUUUCCAUACUUCAGCAGAGGCACGUCUCUCUGACUACACAGGGAGACGAGACCAGAACUGAGGUCUCGACUUGGACUGGUCUAGGUACUCAUGGUUAACCUAAGAGGGAUCUCCAACCUGGGAAUUCUUUGAGGCUGUACUUGACUGUUAGACAUCGACAUAGAUGAUCUCAGGUUCCUCUUCGCUUCAUUAGCAACAGCAACAACAACAACAAAAUUGUCUUCUUCUACACAAAGCGUCAAUUAGGUAAGUAAGUAGAUAUUACCCAGAAAGAGUGUGUGUCUGGGAAAUUAAAUGAAGCAAAGCAUUUUCAUCCUAACCAGACAAAUGGCCUCAAAUGGCGCAAUCCCAUCCAUCAUCCCUGUUGCUGCACCGAUUUCUCCCUCCCUCCCCUUUUCUACCCCUUCUGUCUCCUCCUCCUCUCUUAUGUAUAGCUUUCACUUCCUUCCAUAACUGUAAUCGUAACUUUCUUUGUUACGCCACCUGCAAAUUCCCCUCAGUGCUUGACAAGGAUUUUACUGAGUAAAAAAGAUGUUUGCAAAGUCUCA
This is a long non-coding RNA of Sciurus carolinensis (gray squirrel), 711 nucleotides long. RefSeq lists it as uncharacterized. The transcript is spliced from 3 exons. The record is from RefSeq and is a predicted model, not a curated record. Lineage: Eukaryota; Metazoa; Chordata; Mammalia; Rodentia; Sciuridae.